ACCUGCCUAUAAGACUGGGAUAACUUCGGGAAACCGGAGCUAAUACCGGAUACGUUCUUUUCUCGCAUGAGAGAAGAUGGAAAGACGGUUUCGGCUGUCACUUAUAGAUGGGCCCGCGGCGCAUUAGCUAGUUGGUGAGGUAAUGGCUCACCAAGGCGACGAUGCGUAGCCGACCUGAGAGGGUGAUCGGCCACACUGGGACUGAGACACGGCCCAGACUCCUACGGGAGGCAGCAGUAGGGAAUCUUCCGCAAUGGACGAAAGUCUGACGGAGCAACGCCGCGUGAACGAAGAAGGCCUUCGGGUCGUAAAGUUCUGUUGUUAGGGAAGAACAAGUACCAGAGUAACUGCUGGUACCUUGACGGUACCUAACCAGAAAGCCACGGCUAACUACGUGCCAGCAGCCGCGGUAAUACGUAGGUGGCAAGCGUUGUCCGGAAUUAUUGGGCGUAAAGCGCGCGCAGGUGGUUCUUUAAGUCUGAUGUGAAAGCCCACGGCUCAA
Molecule: ribosomal RNA, 502 nt
Filed under: Bacillus sp. PAS43
Lineage: Bacteria; Bacillati; Bacillota; Bacilli; Caryophanales; Bacillaceae
Description: bacterial SSU rRNA
Rfam family: Bacterial small subunit ribosomal RNA
Source: RNAcentral